Long non-coding RNA from Brassica napus (rape), 1936 nucleotides. RefSeq lists it as uncharacterized. NCBI's taxonomy places the organism in Eukaryota, Viridiplantae, Streptophyta, Magnoliopsida, Brassicales, Brassicaceae. The record is from RefSeq and is a predicted model, not a curated record. The transcript has 4 exons.
AUAUUUAUACAUGAAUUAAUCUCAUAAUAUUAUAUUUUAGUUUUUACAAUAUGUUUAGCAAGUCUCUCAAAACCGGAGACAAACACUUUUCACUAUGAAUCAAAUAGAUUACAAGCCUCGCACUAGUUGCGUGUUCUAUGGACGAUUAUAUGUUUAUGUGUCUAACAAUGAGAGCCUAGACCCCUAUUUAUACAAAAUUGUCUAAUGUGAUUUCUUGUUGUAAAUGGAAUAACAUGUUUAUCCUAAGUUUAUAAGGUUUUAUAAAAAAAUUUGGAUAAGGAUGAAACUAACCAAAUCUUUUUAAUUCUUCAGGUCUUGUACGAAGCUCAGUAGCCGGCCAGAAUGACCCAAGAGACAUCAAGGCCUCACAUUCUCCAUCUUGACUCUUUGGUCAUUCCUUGGCUUCUCGGUUUCUCCAUCUCUCUCUCUCUCUACGAAAAGAAACCCAAAGCUCCGACGAGCUCGCCGCCUCGUUUUCUCCGACGCACCACCUGUUCCUCGACACCGUCUUUAUGGGAGACGUAUGCGUUCUCCGAUCCUUGCUUCUCUUCUCUUUUUGAACACUUCCUCUCUUCGAUUCUCUGUGAACAGACAAGAUCCCAACAUCACCGCCGCUUGUCUUCACCGGUGUUAGCUUCCACCGCCUCCACCAUUAAAAUCUCAGCUCGUCCCUUGAUGAAUUCAGCUUGACUUCUGUGAUUCUCCGGUGACAAAGUUCCUCUUGCACACCAACCUCACAACAUAACCGAACCAGACUUGUCAAAGCUCAAAGCUCAUGGUGUCGACGUCUCUUCACCACCGUUGCUUCCUUUAGCUUUGUUGUAGACGUUUCCUCGCUGCAACCAUACGACUUCAGGCAAUCUUCUGAACUCAUCUUUUACCAAGCUUUAUAAAUUCCUGUCAAACCAUCAGUUUGCUUUUCCUGAAACUGAUUCCUUCUUUUGUGGCCUUUCCGCGAGGUGAACAACUCGACAGCCUUGUCACCUGCAGCCACAUGAGACCUACUAAGGCAGAACCUUGAGGAUCUCCAAGCAUUUCUCGAACUUCUGUCCAGGUACACACUUAGUUAGGAAAACCUCCGGAUUGAUAGAUGUGUGAAUCUUAUAAACCGUAACGUCACCAGCCUCAGUUACGUCUCUCAUAAAGUGUAGUCUAGUAUCUAUAUGCUUAGUCCUUUCAUGGAAUCCUCCAUUCUUAGCUAAGUGUAUAUCACUUUGAGAAUCAGGCAACACUCUCACAUCGUCUUGCUCAAAUCCAAUUUGCUAACAAACCUUUUAGCCAUAGUGCUUCUUUAAAAGCUUCGGCUAAGGCCAUAUAUUCUGAUUCUGUCGUUGAUAGUGCGACAAUAUGUUGGAGACCUGAUCUCUAUAGCUUAUUAUGUUGCCUCCGAGUUGAAACACAUAUCCUGUAACAGAUCUUCUUCUAUCCAAAUCGGUUGCAUAGUGUGCGUCACAUAACCCUCGUACUUUGAAAUCUUCUCCUUUAGUAAACAAUAGGUCUGAAUCUAGAGCUCCUCGUAGGUAUCUCAUCACCCACUUAACAACUUCCCAGUGUUGUCUUCCUUGCUUGCUCAUGUAACGUCUGAUCAAGCCCACUGUGAAACAUAAUUUCGGUCUAGAUCCCACCAUUGCGUACAUCAAGCUUCCAACCGCUGAUGCGUGUGGUACUUUCCUUAUGAUACUCGCUUACAUGUCUUCUUCUUCUUGUGUCAAACUUUUAAGUUUAAAUUGUGGUCCGACAGGAGUAACCACUGCUCUGCUCUUUGCCAUGUUAAAAGUUUCCAGAACCUUCUAUAAAUACUUUCUUUGCGAUAGCUUUAGAGUUCAUUUCUUCAUGUCUUUAAUAAUAUCCAUCCCAAGUAUUCUUGAAGCUGCUCGAAGGUUCUUCAUCUCAAACUCUUUCUUCACGCUAUCUUUGAUUCUCUUAAUUUCUUUAG